GUCCACGCCCUAAACGGUGCACACUAGGUCUUGGAGGAUUCGACCCCUUCAGGGCCCAAGCUAACGCGUUAAGUGUGCCGCCUGAGGACUACGGCCGCAAGGCUAAAACUCAAAGGAAUUGACGGGGGCCCGCACAAGCGGUGGAGCAUGUGGCUCAAUUCGAUGCAACGCGAAGAACCUUACCAGGCCUUGACAUGCACUAGACAGACGCUGAAAGGCGUUCUCCCUUCGGGGCUGGUGCACAGGUGCUGCAUGGCUGUAGU
RNAcentral lists this ribosomal RNA (263 nucleotides) under uncultured bacterium. RNAcentral's name for it is "partial 16S ribosomal RNA". It matches the Rfam family "Bacterial small subunit ribosomal RNA", at positions 793 to 1055 of the family's 1533-position model. The record is from RNAcentral.